This is a small nuclear RNA of Heterocephalus glaber (naked mole-rat), 107 nucleotides long. Lineage: Eukaryota; Metazoa; Chordata; Mammalia; Rodentia; Bathyergidae. The record is from Ensembl.
GUGCUGGCUUUGGUAGCACAUAUACUAAAAUUGGAACAAUACAGAGAAGAUUAACAUGGCUAUUGUGCAAGGAUGACACAAAAAUUCAUGAAGCAUUCCGUAUUUUU